AAAAGACUUAAAACGUUUUUGUUUUGUUUUAUUUAGAAAUAGACGAGUCCCAACACAUUUAACUGUUGUCAGAUGUGCUAUAGUGUUUCUAGCCUGAGCUAAUUUACAACACCUGGUUGUUAUGGAAACAAAAGGAAAGAAAGACAGCAUCAACUGAUAAUCAAAUCAAACUUUAUUAGUCACAUGAAUACAGGUGUAGAACCUUACAGUGAAAUGCUGAAUACAACAGGUGUAGUAGACCUCACAGUGAAAUGCUGAAUACAACAGGUGUAGUAGACCUUACAGUGAAAUGCUGAAUACAACAGGUGUAGAACCUUACAGUGAAAUGCUGAAUACAACAGGUGUAGAAGACCUUACAGUGAAAUGCUGAAUACAACAGGUGUAGUAGACCUGACAGUGAAAUGCUGAAUACAACAGGUGUAGUAGACCUCACAGUGAAAUGCUGAAUACAACAGGUGUAGUAGACCUCACAGUGAAAUGCUGAAUACAACAGGUGUAGUAGACCUCACAGUGAAAUGCUGAAUACAACAGGUGUAGUAGACCUCACAGUGAAAUGCUGAAUACAACAGGUGUAGAACCUUACAGUGAAAUGCUGAAUACAACAGGUGUAUAACCUUACAGUGAAAUGCUGAAUACAACAGGUGUAGUAGACCUCACAGUGAAAUGCUGAAUACAACAGGUGUAGUAGACCUCACAGUGAAAUGCUGAAUACAACAGGUGUAGUAGACCUUACAGUGAAAUGCUGAAUACAACAGGUGUAGAACUUACAAGCACUUAACCAACAAUGCAGAAAAUACCACAAAAGUAAGAGAUAAGAAUAACACAUUAAAGAUCAGCAGUAAAUAACAAUAGUGGGGCAAUAUACAGGGUAUUACGGUACAGAGACAAUGUGGAGGCUAUAUACAGGGUAUUACGGUACAGAGUCAAUGUGGAGGCUAUACACAGGGUAUUACGGUACAGAGUCAAUGUGGAGGCUAUACACAGGGGGGUACCGGUACAGAGUCAAUGUGGAGGCUAUAUACAGGGUGUUACGGUACAGAGUCAAUGUGGAGGCUAUAUACAGGGGGUACCGGUACAGAGUCAAUGUGGAGGCUAUAUACAGGGUAUUACGGUACAGAGUCAAUGUGGAGGCUAUACACAGGGGGGUACCGGUACAGAGUCAAUGUGGAGGCUAUAUACAGGGUGUUACGGUACAGAGUCAAUGUGGAGGCUAUAUACAGGGUAUUACGGUACAGAGUCAAUGUGGAGGCUAUAUACAGGGGUUACCGGUACAGAGUCAAUGUGGAGGCUAUAUACAGGGGUACUGGUACAGAGUCAAUGUGGAGGCUAUAUACAGGGUGUUACGGUACAGAGUCAAUGUGGAGGCUAUAUACAGGGGUUACCGGUACAGAGUCAAUGUGCGGUUAGUAGAUAGGUAAUUAUGUAAUUGAGGUUUUCAACCUCACACUUUGGGCUGGAUGUUUCAGUAUGUAGUUAAUUCAUGCAUAAUCACUGUCUUACCUCAAAAAUCCACAAAAAGUUGGAAAGCGACAAUUUGUUGAAACUGUGCCGCGCCAUUUCCCCUCCAUUUCCCUGGCAAUUAGAGUUCUAUCUCAUGAGCUUCAGCCACUCGUAUUUGAGUGACAGCUUGCAAGAAGCCAGCCCAGGGUUAUCCAAUGAGGUUGCAGGGCGCGCCACAGCAGAGAGAGAGAUGACGUGGUGAACAUAUGUGAUGUAGUACAACAUUUUCAGGGACCACUUUUGACUUGUGAGUGUUACUAUCAGCACUACUGGCUAAAAAGUACACAAAAAGUAGCAGAGAAUCUCUUUAAUGAGUCUGUUGACUGUAGUUUAUACAUGAUCGGACUGUUCCAGCUGGAACAACUAGUUUGUUGUGUGUCUUUUGUAUUAAAAUGUUCCAUCAGUUUAUGUUCCACAUUAUCCUGUUAUUAUACAACAUUAUCUUCACCAGAUCUCAAACCAGCCUUCUACAUUGUCACAUUAUAGUGUCAUUAUACAACAUUAUCUUCACCAGAUCUCAAACCAGCCUUCUACAUUGACCAUAUUAUCCUGUUAUUAUACAACAUUAUCUUCACCAGAUCUCAAACCAGCCUUCUACAUUGUCACAUUAUAGUGUCAUUAUACAACAUUAUCUUCACCAGAUCUCAAACCAGCCUUCUACAUUGACCAUAUUAUCCUGUUAUUAUACAGCAUUAUCUUCACCAGAUCUCAAACCAGCCUUCUACAUUGACCACAUUAUCCUGUUAUUAUACAACAUUAUCUUCACCAGAUCUCAAACCGGCCUUCUACAUUGUCACAUUAUAGUGUCAUUAUACAACAUUAUCAUCACCAGAUCUCAAACCAGCCUUCUACAUUGUCACAUUAU
Oncorhynchus tshawytscha (Chinook salmon) is the source of this 2365-nucleotide long non-coding RNA. NCBI's taxonomy places the organism in Eukaryota, Metazoa, Chordata, Actinopteri, Salmoniformes, Salmonidae. The record is from Ensembl.